RNAcentral lists this ribosomal RNA (371 nucleotides) under uncultured bacterium. RNAcentral describes it as "bacterial SSU rRNA". It matches the Rfam family "Bacterial small subunit ribosomal RNA", at positions 527 to 896 of the family's 1533-position model. The record is from RNAcentral.
GUAGGGGGCUAGCGUUGUUCGGAAUCAUUGGGCGUAAAGCGCGUGUAGGCGGUCCGGUAAGUCCGCUGUGGAAGUCGGGGGCUCAACCCUCGGAUGCCGGUGGAUACUGUCGGGCUUGAGUACGGAAGAGGCGAGUGGAAUUCCUGGUGUAGCGGUGAAAUGCGCAGAUAUCAGGAGGAACACCAAUUGCGAAGGCAGCUCGCUGGGACGUUACUGACGCUGAGACGCGAAAGCGUGGGGAGCAAACAGGAUUAGAUACCCUGGUAGUCCACGCUGUAAACGAUGGGCACUAGGUGUGGGGGGUGUCGACUCCCUCCGUGCCGAAGCUAACGCAUUAAGUGCCCCGCCUGGGGAGUACGGCCGCAAGGCUA